RNAcentral lists this ribosomal RNA (253 nucleotides) under uncultured bacterium. Its description in RNAcentral is "partial 16S ribosomal RNA". It matches the Rfam family "Archaeal small subunit ribosomal RNA", at positions 474 to 727 of the family's 1478-position model. The record is from RNAcentral.
UACCAGCACCCCGAGUGGUCGGGACGUUUAUUGGGCCUAAAGCAUCCGUAGCCGGUUCUACAAGUCUUCCGUUAAAUCCAACUGCUUAACAGGUGGGCUGCGGAAGAUACUAUAGAGCUAGGAGGCGGGAGAGGCAAGCGGUACUCGAUGGGUAGGGGUAAAAUCCGUUGAUCCAUUGAAGACCACCAGUGGCGAAGGCGGCUCACUGGCCCGGUACUGACGCUGAGGUGCGAAAGCGUGGGGAGCAAACAGG